UUUCCGUAGGUGAACCUGCGGAAGGAUCAUUAUCGAAUUUCGAGGGGAAGGAAGAUGAGGAGUGGAGACUGUCGCUGGCUUUUCCGCCUGGGAAGCAUGUGCACGCCUUGCUUUCCGUUGACCUUUCUCUUACUCUCACACCUGUGCACCCAUUGUAGGUCCUCGAAAGUGGAUCUAUGUUUUUAUCAUCACACGCAUCGUAUGUCCAUAGAAUGUAACAUGAUCGUCGAUCGACCUCGCGGUCGGGUGGCGGUCUAAAUAAAUAAAUACAACUUUCAGCAACGGAUCUCUUGGCUCUC
RNAcentral lists this unclassified non-coding RNA (299 nucleotides) under plant metagenome. Its description in RNAcentral is "partial contains small subunit ribosomal RNA, internal transcribed spacer 1, and 5.8S ribosomal RNA". The record is from RNAcentral.